CGCGGCCUAUCAGCUUGUUGGUGGGGUAAUGGCCUACCAAGGCGACGACGGGUAGCCGGCCUGAGAGGGUGACCGGCCACACUGGGACUGAGACACGGCCCAGACUCCUACGGGAGGCAGCAGUGGGGAAUAUUGGACAAUGGGCGAAAGCCUGAUCCAGCAACGCCGCGUGAGGGAUGACGGCCUUCGGGUUGUAAACCUCUUUCACCUGUGACGAAGCGAAAGUGACGGUAGCAGGAGAAGAAGCGCCGGCUAACUACGUGCCAGCAGCCGCGGUAAUACGUAGGGCGCAAGCGUUGUCCGGAAUUAUUGGGCGUAAAGAGCUCGUAGGCGGUUUGUCGCGUCUGCUGUGAAAGCCCGGGGCUCAACCCCGGGUCUGCAGUGGGUACGGGCAGACUAGAGUGCAGUAGGGGAGACUGGAAUUCCUGGUGUAGCGGUGAAAUGCGCAGAUAUCAGGAGGAACACCGAUGGCGAAGGCGGGUCUCUGGGCUGUAACUGACGCUGAGGAGCGAAAGCAUGGGGAGCGAACAGGAUUAGAUACCCUGGUAGUCCAUGCCGUAAACGUUGGGCACUAGGUGUGGGGGACAUUCCACGUUUUCCGCGCCGUAGCUAACGCAUUAAGUGCCCCGCCUGGGGAGUACGG
RNAcentral lists this ribosomal RNA (643 nucleotides) under uncultured Actinomycetes bacterium. Its description in RNAcentral is "bacterial SSU rRNA". It matches the Rfam family "Bacterial small subunit ribosomal RNA", at positions 232 to 885 of the family's 1533-position model. Lineage: Bacteria; Bacillati; Actinomycetota; Actinomycetes. The record is from RNAcentral.